Molecule: ribosomal RNA, 468 nt
Filed under: uncultured bacterium
Lineage: Bacteria
Description: partial 16S ribosomal RNA
Rfam family: Bacterial small subunit ribosomal RNA
Source: RNAcentral
GACGAACGCUGGCGGCGUGCUUAACACAUGCAAGUCGAACGGAAAGGCCCUGCUUUUGUGGGGUGCUCGAGUGGCGAACGGGUGAGUAACACGUGAGUAACCUGCCCUUGACUUUGGGAUAACUUCAGGAAACUGGGGCUAAUACAGGAUAGGAGCUCCUGCUGCAUGGUGGGGGUUGGAAAGUUUCGGCGGUUGGGGAUGGACUCGCGGCUUAUCAGCUUGUUGGUGGGGUAGUGGCUUACCAAGGCUUUGACGGGUAGCCGGCCUGAGAGGGUGACCGGCCACAUUGGGACUGAGAUACGGCCCAGACUCCUACGGGAGGCAGCAGUGGGGAAUAUUGCACAAUGGGCGGAAGCCUGAUGCAGCAACGCCGCGUGCGGGAUGACGGCCUUCGGGUUGUAAACCGCUUUCGCCUGUGACGAAGCGUGAGUGAUGGUAAUGGGUAAAGAAGCACCGGCUAACUACGUG